Pipistrellus kuhlii (Kuhl's pipistrelle) is the source of this 190-nucleotide small nuclear RNA. RefSeq annotates it as U2 spliceosomal RNA. The transcript has a single exon. The record is from RefSeq and is a predicted model, not a curated record. NCBI's taxonomy places the organism in Eukaryota, Metazoa, Chordata, Mammalia, Chiroptera, Vespertilionidae.
AUUCCUUCUCAGCCUUUUGGCUAAGAUCAGGUGAACUAUCAGUUCUUAUCAAGUAACUAUCUAAUUACUAGAGGCCCGAUGCACAAAAUUUGUGCAUGGGGAGUGGUGGUGUCCCUCAGCCCAGCCUGCACCCUCUCCAAUCUGGGACCUGUCAAGGGUAUGUCUGACUGCCUGUUUAGGCCCAAUCAAG